CCUACGGGAGGCAGCAGUGAGGAAUAUUGGUCAAUGGACGAGAGUCUGAACCAGCCAAGUAGCGUGAAGGAUGACUGCCCUAUGGGUUGUAAACUUCUUUUAUAUGGGAAUAAAAUGUUCCACGUGUGGGAUUUUGUAUGUACCAUAUGAAUAAGGAUCGGCUAACUCCGUGCCAGCAGCCGCGGUAAUACGGAGAAUCCGAGCGGUAUCCGGAUUUAUUGGGUUUAAAGGGAGCGUAGGUGGAUUGUUAAGUCAGUUGUGAAAGUUUGCGGCUCAACCGUAAAAUUGCAGUUGAAACUGGCAGUCGUGAGUACAGUAGAGGUGGGCGGAAUUCGUGGUGUAGCGGUGAAAUGCUUAGAUAUCACGAAGAACUCCGAUUGCGAAGGCAGCUCACUGGACUGCAACUGACACUGAGGCUCGAAAGUGUGGGUAUCAAACAGGAUUAGAUACCCCAGUAGGC
Molecule: ribosomal RNA, 460 nt
Filed under: uncultured bacterium
Lineage: Bacteria
Description: partial 16S ribosomal RNA
Rfam family: Bacterial small subunit ribosomal RNA
Source: RNAcentral